This is a long non-coding RNA of Vigna unguiculata (cowpea), 508 nucleotides long. The record is from RefSeq and is a predicted model, not a curated record. Lineage: Eukaryota; Viridiplantae; Streptophyta; Magnoliopsida; Fabales; Fabaceae.
CUCUGGAAUAAACUACAAUAAUCUGACAAACAAUUCUGAUUUGUAAUUUAUGCGUUCUUUUUAUUUGGUGCAGUAUGGAUUUUCAUAAAAAGGAAUCUUCCCAAAGGAAAGCUGAGUGGAGGAAUAAAUCAAGAAGGAAUAAACUAUUACAACAACCUUAUCAAUGAGCUGGUGGCUAAUGGUAUAAAACCAUUUGUGACUCUUUUCGUUGGGGUCUUUCCCAAGCACUGGAAGAUGAGUAUGGUGGCUUUCUAAGUCCACUGAUAGUAAAGGACUUUCGAGAUUAUGCAGAACUUUGCUUCAAGGAAUUUGGUGAUAGGGUGAAGUAUUGGGUUACAUUGAAUGAACCCUGGAGUUGCAGUCAGAAUGGGUAUGCAAGUGGAGUAAUGGCACCAGGUCGCUGUUCUGCAUGGAUGAAUUCAAAUUGCACAGGUGGUGAUUCUUCAAUUGAGCCAUAUCUGGUCACACAUCACCAACUUCUUGCUCAUGCAGCAGCUAUGCGUCUCUA